AACUGAUACUACCUGCGGGAACCUGCGGAAGGAUCAUUACCGAGUUAUCCAACUCCCAACCCCUGUGAAUCAUACCUUUAAUUGUUGCUUCGGCGGGACUUCGCGCCCGCCGGGGACCCAAACCUUCUGAAUUUUUUAAUAAGUAUCUUCUGAGUGGUUAAAAAAAUGAAUCAAAACUUUUAACAAUGGAUCUCU
This 195-nucleotide unclassified non-coding RNA is filed under the name soil metagenome. RNAcentral's name for it is "partial contains 5.8S ribosomal RNA, internal transcribed spacer 2, and large subunit ribosomal RNA". The record is from RNAcentral.